UGCCCUAGUAACGGCGAGUGAAGCGGCAAGAGCUCAAAUUUGAAAUCUGGCGCCCCACUAGGGCGUCCGAGUUGUAAUUUGGAGAGGCACUUUGGGGUGAGGCGCGGGUCCAAGUCCCCUAGAACGGGGCGCCGCAGAGGGUGAGAGCCCCGUAUCCGGCCCGCCGUCCGAGCCCGUGUCAUGUGUCUUCGACGAGUCGAGUUGUUUGGGAAUGCAGCUCAAAUUGGGUGGUAAAUUUCAUCUAAAGCUAAAUACCGGCGGGAGACCGAUAGCGCACAAGUAGAGUGAUCGAAAGAUGAAAAGCACUUUGAAAAGAGAGUUAAAAAGUACGUGAAAUUGUUGAAAGGGAAGCGCUUGAGAUCAGACUUGGCGGUGGGUGAUCAGCGGUCCUUCUGGGCCGUGCACUCGCACACCGGCAUGCCAGCAUCGGUUGCGGCGGCGGGAGAAAGGCAACGGGAAUGUGGCUCCCCUCGGGGAGUGUUAUAGCCCGGGGCGCAAUGCCGCCAGUCGCGACCGAGGACCGCGCCUUUGUGCAAGGAUGCUUGGCUUAAUGGUCUUCAGCGACCCGUCUUGAAACACGGACCAAGGAGUCUAACAUCUAUGCGAGUGUUUGGGCGAUUAAACCCUUGCGCGUAAUGAAAGUGAACGGAGGUGGGAACCCGUCAAGGGCGCACCAUCGACCGAUCCUGAUGUCUUCGGAUGGAUUUGAGUAGGAGCAUAGCUGUUGGGACCCGAAAGAUGGUGAACUAUGCCUGAAUAGGGUGAAGCCAGAGGAAACUCUGGUGGAGGCUCGCAGCGGUUCUGACGUGCAAAUCGAUCGUCAAAUUUGGGUAUAGGGGCGAAAGACUAAUCGAACCAUCUAGUAGCUGG
Molecule: ribosomal RNA, 870 nt
Filed under: Psilopezia sp.
Lineage: Eukaryota; Fungi; Ascomycota; Pezizomycetes; Pezizales; Rhizinaceae
Description: partial large subunit ribosomal RNA
Rfam family: Eukaryotic large subunit ribosomal RNA
Source: RNAcentral